Molecule: ribosomal RNA, 446 nt
Filed under: uncultured bacterium
Lineage: Bacteria
Description: partial 16S ribosomal RNA
Rfam family: Bacterial small subunit ribosomal RNA
Source: RNAcentral
CCUACGGGAGGCAGCAGUCGAGAAUCAUUCACAAUGGGGGAAACCCUGAUGGUGCGACGCCGCGUGGGGGAAUGAAGGUCUUCGGAUUGUAAACCCCUGUCAUGUGGGAGCAAAUUAAAAAGAUAGUACCACAAGAGGAAGCGACGGCUAACUCUGUGCCAGCAGCCGCGGUAAUACAGAGGUCUCAAGCGUUGUUCGGAAUCACUGGGCGUAAAGCGUGCGUAGGCUGUUUCGUAAGUCGUGUGUGAAAGGCGCGGGCUCAACCCGCGGACGGCACAUGAUACUGCGAGAAUAGAGUAAGGGAGGGGGAACCGGAAUUCUCGGUGUAGCAGUGAAAUGCGUAGAUAGCGAGAGGAACACUCGUGGCGAAGGCGGGUUCCUGGACAUUAACUGACGCUGAGGCACGAAGGCCAGGGGAGCGAAAGGGAUUAGAUACCCCUGUAGUC